GAUGAACGCUAGCGGCAGGCUUAACACAUGCAAGUCGAGGGGUAACAUAGAAAAGCUUGCUUUUCUGAUGACGACCGGCGCACGGGUGCGUAACGCGUAUACAACCUACCUUUUAGCGGGGAAUAGCCCAGGGAAACUUGGAUUAAUGCCCCAUAGUAUAUAGACUUCUCCUGAAGUUUAUAUUAAACAUUUAUGGCCAUUAGAUGGGUAUGCGUCCUAUUAGCUAGUUGGUGUGGUAACGGCACACCAAGGCUACGAUAGGUAGGGGUCCUGAGAGGGAGAUCCCCACACUGGUACUGAGACACGGACCAGACUCCUACGGGAGGCAGCAGUGAGGAAUAUUGGACAAUGGGCGAGAACCUGAUCCAGCCAUGCCGCGUGCAGGAAGACUGCCCUAUGGGUUGUAAACUGCUUUUACAGAGGAAGAACCACCCCCACGUGUGGGGGUUUGACGGUACUCUGCGAAUAAGGAUCGGCUAACUCCGUG
Molecule: ribosomal RNA, 487 nt
Filed under: uncultured bacterium
Lineage: Bacteria
Description: bacterial SSU rRNA
Rfam family: Bacterial small subunit ribosomal RNA
Source: RNAcentral